RNAcentral lists this microRNA precursor (62 nucleotides) under Homo sapiens (human). Its description in RNAcentral is "miAB41_pre". Lineage: Eukaryota; Metazoa; Chordata; Mammalia; Primates; Hominidae. The record is from RNAcentral.
UCAGGGGAUGGGAGUGACAUGGCCUGGGGAUGCCCAGGGCUCUGACCACUGCAUCCCCUUCC